Molecule: long non-coding RNA, 1127 nt
Organism: Pseudoliparis swirei
Lineage: Eukaryota; Metazoa; Chordata; Actinopteri; Perciformes; Liparidae
Exons: 3
Source: RefSeq, a predicted model, not a curated record
UGUUUUUUCAUUAGCCCCGAAUGUUUUCAACCAACAAAAAAAAAAGAUUUGGUACACAAGUGGUUAACACCUCCAGGUCGCACGUGACGUCAUUCACCCAAAACAGCGGAGUCAGGACUGGCAGCAGGCGCACGUAACAGCAAGCUGCUGUCUGAGUGUUUCUAUGUCUACACAUUUCGCUGCUUCACUCCUCUGGGCUAAGCCCAGCGCCGCCGCUCCCAUAACGCGCAUCGCUCUGCCGUGAUACGCGCCGACACAUCCGCGCACACAGACAUUAUAAUCCAACUUGGAUGGAAAAACUUCGUGACCUUAAUGACACCCAGCAACACGGUGAGAUUAUAAUCCAUUUAAAUGCCAGAAGCAAGCAAUUAUUUGUUUUUAAGAUGUUUUUUUCUUUAUUUGUGUUAGAGCUAGAGACACACAAGCACCACAGGGGAGGAUCUGCAGCAAAGGGACCACCGGAAAUCAAACCUUGGCCGCCAUGAUGACGACAUGUGGCACUUGAGUGUGAAUCUAGCCUUUUCAUUUUUAUUUACAACAUUAGCAUUGAAAAGAGCAAAGUUGAUGCUUGAGAUGAUAUUGUUUUUACUGAAGAGGAUGUAUGUCCUCCCUUUGUCCUUUAUCCCCUUACUCUUUCUUUUUAGGUGUGAUUACGACUACCAGCAUGGACCUCAACACCUUCUUUGCUGUUCCACUAGUGUGACCCAUGAUCGGAUACAAGUUGUCAAGGAUAAACGGGAAGAGAAUCAUGUCAGCCCACAGACAACCGGUUGACCUGUGAGUCUUCAAGCAGUAAUGAUGACUACUCCUGCCUUAAGUUCCAGUUUCCUGGACAUCAUGUCGGCAUGAGAUUCUGUCCCCACCUGUCUUCAGUCUGGACCCAAUGAGUUUUUUUUUUUUUACAGUGCGUUUACAGUCACAUGGUUUUUUUCGAGGCUUUGUCUGAGUUUCAGUGCUGUUAUUUACCAUUCAGGGUUGUUCAGAAACAUUCAAUUUGUCAUUCUCAUUUGAAGGGCUUGCUGCUGUGAUUCUUUUGUGUACACCAGGAUUUCUUUGUAUUUUGGCAUUUUACACAAAUGUGUUUGAAAGAUGGUCAACAAAGUUGCACAAAUAAAUGUUUAACUGCU